CAAUAGCGUAUAUUUAAGUUGUUGCAGUUAAAAAGCUCGUAGUUGGAUUUCUGCUGAGAACGACCGGUCCGCCCUUUGGGUGUGUAUCUGGCUCUUUCUUGGCAUCUUCUUGGUGAACGUUGCUGCACUUGACUGUGUGGAGCGCUACCCAGGACUUUUACUUUGAGGAAAUUAGAGUGUUUCAAGCAGGCAUACGCCUUGAAUACAUUAGCAUGGAAUAAUAAGAUAGGACCUCGGUUCUAUUUUGUUGGUUUCUAGAGCUGAGGUAAUGAUUAAUAGGGAUAGUUGGGGGCAUUCGUAUUUAACUGUCAGAGGUGAAAUUCUUGGAUUUGUUAAAGACGGGCUACUGCGAANGNAUUUGCNAAGGAUGUUUNCAUUG
This 379-nucleotide ribosomal RNA is filed under the name uncultured eukaryote. RNAcentral's name for it is "partial 18S ribosomal RNA". It matches the Rfam family "Eukaryotic small subunit ribosomal RNA", at positions 592 to 975 of the family's 1831-position model. The record is from RNAcentral.